CCCACUUAAAAUAAUUUCAUCCUCGAAAUUUAACUUACUUUUUUAAGGAGUUCGGGAUACUUGGCUAAAACGUCUUCUUCCCUUUCCCAAUUGGCGUCACUCUCACUAUGUCUACUCCAUUGGACUUUGACUAAUGAAAUUUUUCGGUUUCUCAGAACAUGGUCUUUUUUCUCUAGAAUCACUAGAGGAACUUCUUCGUACGUCAUAUCACUCUGAACAUUUAAUGACCGAACAUUCACCACAUGGAUAGGAUCUGAAAUGUACUUUCUCAACAUAGAAAUGUGAAAUAUGUUGUGCACGACUGAUAGUUAGGGGGCAAUGCUAAACGAUCUGCCACAUUCCCAAUUUUUCAGGAAUCUCAAAUGGACCAAUAAAUCUUGGACUCAAUUUCCUUUUCUUCCCAAAUCGUAAUAUUCCUUUCGUCGGUGCCACUUUGAGAAAUAUUUUUUCUCCAACCUCAAAAGUUAAUUCUUUUCUCCUUUUGUCAGCAUAGCUCUUUUGACGAUCUUGGGCGGUCUUAAUUCUUGAUCUAAUUUUAUAUAUAGCCUCCAUAGUCUUCUUAAUCAAUUCUGGACCUAAAACUUUCCUUUCACCAACUUCGUCUCAGUAUAAUGGCGAACGACAUCGACAACCAUACAAAGCCUCAUAUGGUGCCAUGCCAAUAAUAGCUUGGAAGCUAUUGUUGUAUGCAAAUUCAACUAACAACAAAUGGUCUUCCCACUUACCACCCAAAUCUAGGACACAAGCUCUCAACAUCUUUUCAAGCAUUUGGAUAGUACGUUCAGAUUUUUCGUCAAUCUGAGGAUGGUAUGCAGUACUAAACGUUAACUUGGUACCCGUAGCUUUCUGAAGGCUUAUUAAAAACUUCGAAGUAAACCAUGGGUCCGAUAUAAUAGAAACUGGAACACUAUGAAGUCACAUAAUCUCUCUGAUAUAAAUCUAUGCGAACUGUUCUAAGCUAUAGGUUGUUCGAACUGGCAAGAAAUGAGCAGAUUUUGUAAGUCAUCCAUAAUCACCCAGAUCACAUCAUGACCUCUCACUGAUCUAGGAAAACCAACGACAAAAUCCAUUGCAAUCUUUUCCCACUUCCAUUCGGGUAUAUCCAUAGGAUUCAAUGGCCCUAACAGCCUCUGAUGUUCAGCUUUUACUUGUUAACAAACCAUACAUUUGGACACAAAAAAAGCUAUAUUCCCCUUCAUAUUUUUCUACCAAAAUCUAUCAUGGAAAUCUUUAUUCAUUUUAGUUCCACCUGGGUGUACGACAUAAGGAGUAGAAUGAGCUUCAGUCGUGAUCUCAUUCCUCAAUACUUUAUCCUUUGGCACGCACAAUCGACCUUAAAACAUCAAGGCUUUAUCUUCAGCUAUUUCAAAUCAUUUCCUCUUUUCAGUUCCCACAUCAACCCUGAUCUUUUCCAAAAAGGGAUCAUCUUUCUCAGCAGCUAUUAUUUUGUCCCUGAGUGUCGGCUUUACAGUAAAACUUGCUAACAUCGUCGAUGUCCUUACUGAUGAUGUUAAUACUUCAAUUCUCAAGUUAUCAAAAUCUCUGAUUAUGUAAUCCUACCUCGUACAAAGUACUGACAACUGUCCCAUGUUCUUUAUACUCAAUGCAUCAGCGACUACAUUGGCCUUACCCAGAUGGUACAAGAUAGUGCAGUCGUAAUCUUUCACCAAUUCUAACCAUCGUCGCUGUCUCAUAUUUAACUCUUUCUGGGUGAAGAAGUAUUUGAGACUUUUGUGAUCGGUAUAAAUCUCACAUUUUCUCCCGUAUAGGUAGUGGCACCAAAUCUUCAAGGCGUACACUAUCGCUGCUAGUUCGAGAUCAUGUGUAGGGUAAUUCUAUUCAUAUUGCUUCAAUUGCCUCGAAGCCUAAGCAAAGACCUUCCCAUGUUGCAUCAAAAAAAUCCUAAACCAAGCUUGGAUGCAUCAAUAUAAAUCAAAAAACCUUCUGAACCGUCUGGAAUAGUCAAUACUGGUACAGAUACGAGUUUGUCCUUUAACUCUUGGAAACUCUGCUCGUAUUUCUCUGACCAUACGAACUUAGUACCCUUCUGAGUCAAUUAUGUCAUAGGACUCGCUAUCUUGGAAAAUCCUUCUAUAAAUCUUCGAUAAUAACCGGCUAAACCCAGAAAACUCCACACUUCUCCAACAUUUGUAGGUUUCGGCCAAUUCGUCACAGUCUUAACUUUGAACUGAUCCAAUUCAAUUCCUCAUUCUAAAACAGUAUGGCCUAGAAAUCCAACUCGAUCUAGCCAAAAUUCACAUUUCUUGAAUUUGGCAUAUAACUUUUCCUCACGCAGUGUUUCUAAAACUAUCCUCAAAUGUUCUUCAUGUUGAUGAGAAUCUCUCAAGUAUAUCAAUAUGACAUCAAUAAAUACGAUGACAAACAUGUCCAAAUACCAAUAAAAUACUCUAUUCAUUAAGUCCAUAAACACCGCAGGGGCAUUCGUCAAGUAAAGGGCAUCACUGUAAACUCAUAAUGCCCAUAUCGGGUCCUAAAUGCCGUCUUUGGUAUGUCAGUCAACUUGAUCUUCAAUUGAUGAUAGCCUGACCUUAGAUCAAUUUUUGAGAACACGGAUGCAUCCUUCAACUGAUCAAAUAGAUCCUUAAUCCUAGGAAGGGGACACUUAUUCUUAAUCGUCAACUUAUUUAGUUCACAGUAGUCGAUGCACAUCCUCAUAGUACCAUCUUUCUUCUUUACAAAGAGUACCGAAGCUCUCCAUGAAGAUACACUUGGUCUAAUUAAUGAACCCUUUGUCUAGAAGUUCUUCAAGCUGCAUCUUCAACUCUUGUAAUUCCUUUGGUACCAUUCGGUAUGGAGCUUUGGACACAGGGAUAGCUCUAGGUAUCAGAUCUAUCAUGAACUCCACUUGUCUAUCGGGCGGGGUACUUGAUUUUCAGGAAACAUGUCAACAUACUCUCGUACAAUUGGGACAUUGCCUAAUACUUUCUCUUGAGUGGAUGUGCUAGUAAGAUGGACAAGAUAGCCUUUUUCAACAUGCUCUCUGCUUUUAAAGCUGAGACAACUCGAGAAAGUGCCUUAAUGCUCGAUCCAUAAAAUCUGAACUCUUAUUCUCCUGAUAUUUGAAAAAUUACCUUUUUCUCAAAACAUACUAUCGUGGCUCGAUUCUCACCCAACUAGUCCAUACCUAAAAUAAUAUCAAAAUCUUUCAUCUCUAUACUAUACAAGUCAGCCUUUAAAGUCAGUCCAUCAAAAUCUAUCUAUACCCCUUUUGCUACCCUAUCCGUAUUAAUAGUUCCAUCUGAUGGCAUACUCACCUCUAAUACACUAUCAUUCUUUUGACAUGAAGCAUUAAUCUUAGCUAGACAUGCAUUAGAUAUGAAUGAAUGUAUCGUACCGAAAUCAAUCAGGACAUAUACAGGAAUAUUAGAGACAGAUAAAAUACCUGAAAUCACGUCUAGAUUUUUGGCAGCCUCGUCGUGAGUCAAAGCAAACACCCUUGCUUUUCCCUUUUUCUCUCGUUCGGGUUUCUUAAUUGAUGGGCCUGAAGAAGCCACAUGGUCGGGUUGACCACACUUAUAGCAGACAUACUUUCCAUACAGACAUUCUCCUUUGUGAAACUUGUUGCAUUUAGGAUAUUGGGAUACAGGAUUGCUUGAUUGACCCACAUACAUCUGCUUCUUAAACUGUCCCGUACUCUUAUUCUUGUCCUGCCACUUCCUUUUCCCAAAGUCUUUACGUUGUCCCUGAUUUACCAAUUUUAUCCCCGAGUAGGUCACUAUUUGAGCUUUUUUAUCAUUGCUUGAAAAGUGGUGAGAUAUGUGAACUCACAAUCUACCUGAUCUCUGGGUGCAGGCCCCUCUCGUAACGUUUUGCCUUCAUGAACUCGGUACUUACAAGAUGUGGGGCAUAUCGGGACAAUUCAUCGAAUUUGCUCUCAUACUCAAAAAGUUCCAUAUCUCUCUGUACCAGUCUUAAGAAUUCCGUCUCCUUGUGGUCUCGCAUAGCUUGUGGGAAAAACUUUUCUAUUAGCUCCAUCAUAAACUGAUCCCACGUUAAGUUUCGUUGUUCCUUCUCAGUGCAAGUGCGUGAUGUGGAUUCCUACCAAUGGCCUACUCACCCGAUUAGCACAAACUCUGCACAUAAUACUUUUUGAUUUUCUGGGCAAGAUAUGUGCUGAAAAAACUUCUCGAUAAUACGCAAUCACUCAUCAACUGCUAGAGGAUCCUUUCCACCAUCAAAGGUAGGUGGUCGGUAUCUAUGAAAUUGUUCUACCUUUAGAACAGGCAGUGCAAUCGUGUAUGUUGGUGGCACCAGCGAAGCUAAUGGAACUAGUGAAGCUUGAGGUGUAACCUGAGCAGCCAAGGCCUGUCUCAACUCAUCAAUUUCCCGCCUUAACUCCCUAAUUGUCCUCGCUUGUGCCAUAUUCCUAAAAUAAUUGCAAUCUCAUUUAAAGGAGCCAAGGAUAUUUGUGCAAUAUAGGAAAAAGAUUCAUAACUCAAUAUCCUUUAUUAUUGUCACAUACAAAUCCUUCAGGAGACAAAAAAAAUAGUAAAAGAGCGUUUGGCGCUAUUCCAUAGCAUCAUAAAAGAAAUCCUACUAAACACCAACAAUAAUUAAACCUGAUAAAACUACUAAAAUUCACUUAUUCAUUAUUGCUAUCAUAAUCAUUAAUCCAGCCUCCAUGAAUCCUAGGUCUCUUAGAAAACUAAACCUCAUCAUCCGAAAUAGGUGGAGGUGCAUUUCACGAAUGUGCAUUUCGGUAGGUACACUAUCGUCUUCGGGGAUCUCAAGUCGGGCCAGCUCCCACCGCUCAAUUAGCUCUGCGCAGAAAGCCUCAUAAUAAAUCUCUCGAGGUAAGGUAGGCACACUAAUCUCCCGUAAAUAAUUAUAAAUCGAUUCGGCUACCUCUAGCCACUCUUCUGGCAAUAUCUCAAUAAGGAGGCAGGUGGCUCGAUGACAAGUGACCACAUAGCCUAGUUGUCUCACUUCCCUCCAUCUUACUAACAUCUCCCAAAUGUGUUGGCCAAUGUUGUGCAUUGGAUUCCACCGAUACUCUACAUAUUGCCUCAAGAUCUCAUAUCGAUGAGGCAUCGAUGAACUCGUCUUCCAACAAGUUUUCUUAAUUCGUACUAUUUGAGUCAUACCAAUUAUUCAAAAUGCAAUAAGUGGGUGUCUAAUAAGUUUUAGUUAAUUCUCAAGGACUAAAUUUAAUCUCCUCACACUCUAAAAAAAUACUUGGUACAUUACUAAUUAUCUACAAAGGUAUUCAAACUAUAUGCUGAAAUUCAUACAUACAUUUCAAAUUUUGCAUCUCAAAUAAAAUUUCUCAUAAUCAUCGCAUAGAUACAAUCACAUUUGUGAAACUUUCUUUACCUCGAAAUUUUCAUGGCGCAGCAUGGCAGGCACAGUACUCAGGAUCCUCAUUAGAAAAAAAAAUCGUUCAACUUAUAUGUGACACAACACUUCAAAGAUUUACUUUCAAUGUGAGUCUACAAAAAAUGAACCUGGCUCUGAUACCAAGUUGUAACGCCCCGGAUUCUCGAAACCCAAAGCUUUAAAAAUAAUCGAUCUUUCUUUGAUUCGACCCCUUUGAUGUUAACCAAAGUAAUUUGUAAAUUAGAAAGUUUUUGGGUUUUGAAAAUAUAUAAAAAUAUAAUGGGAAGUAGUUAUUCAUAUAAACU
Molecule: long non-coding RNA, 5642 nt
Filed under: Olea europaea subsp. europaea
Lineage: Eukaryota; Viridiplantae; Streptophyta; Magnoliopsida; Lamiales; Oleaceae
Source: RNAcentral